UGAGGAAUUUUGGACAAUGGGGGAAACCCUGAUCCAGCGACGCCGCGUGAAGGAUGAAGGUCUUCGGAUUGUAAACUUCUUUUAUUCGGGAAUAACGACCCUAUGUAAACAUAGGGAGUGAAUGUACCGGAUGAAUAAGCCACGGCUAACUUCGUGCCAGCAGCCGCGGUAAUACGAAGGUGGCAAGCGUUACUCGGAAUUACUAGGCGUAAAGGGCAGGUAGGUGGUUUGAUAAGUCUGUUGUGAAAGCUCCUGGCUCAACUGGGAGAGGUCAACAGAAACUAUCAGACUUGAGUAUGGAAGAGGGUACUGGAAUUCCCGGUGUAGCGGUGAAAUGCGCAGAGAUCGGGAGGAACACCUAUGGCGAAAGCAAGUACCUGGACCAUUACUGACACUCAGCUGCGAAAGCUAGGGGAGCAAACAG
RNAcentral lists this ribosomal RNA (424 nucleotides) under uncultured bacterium. RNAcentral describes it as "bacterial SSU rRNA". It matches the Rfam family "Bacterial small subunit ribosomal RNA", at positions 355 to 775 of the family's 1533-position model. The record is from RNAcentral.